CAAUACCUACGUCCACUCAGUAUUGAUAAACAGUUUGUGGGGACUACAGUGUUUGCGUUUCAAAUAUAAACUUAUUUAAAAUACAUCAAGAUGUGUUGUGUGUGUAACCUGCUCUGCAAGAUCAUCAGCUUAAUUGUUUCCAUCCUGAGUAUUGUGCUCGUUAUACUACUCAUUCUAUGGUUGGUUGGCGUAAUCUUCCAGAAUGAUUCUAACGGUUCUGCUACAUCCACAAACGAACUCGUCAAAAGCGCUGGCGCAUAUAAAUAUUCAGCCAUCGGAGCAUCGUUCACAUAGUGUUUAACUUGAAUAAUUAUAUUUUCUUACUAGCCGUUAUCUUCUCUUUGUGUAGCCUAGAGAGUCAGUCGAAACUUUUUAUGGCAUAAAAGCUCACCAACUGGCUCUUCUUAUUUAUUUAAACUUCUGUGACUAUAGAUGUAUUUUUAUAACCUAGCAAGUCUAUGUUAUAGUUACAUGUAUAUAAGUGCACAGUUGCGUCUAUAUUUUUGUAUUCUUACCUUCUAUAUACUAAUAUACCUAUUAACAGAUAGCCUGGGAAAAUAAAUAUGGUUAAUCAGAGAGAGAAAAACUUACGCAGAGAAGUACUUCAUGAAACGCAAUAUUUACCGCUAUAAAACAAUACAAAUAAAGCCAUAUUGCAAAUUAGAGGCGGCUUCAUACCUACAGAAUAUUUAGUAUUUCAUGGCAUUAUUUUUGUAACCGUUGACAUCUUUUGAAAAUCGUUUGAUAAAAAAAAUCAUUAGGUAUUUCCCUAAAGAGGCAAAUUUUAACGUACACUGACAUCUAAAUGAUAUGUACCUAAAUUAUGUCAUUUAAGUAGUUAUCAGUCGCGCCAGGAUUUCGCUCGUACAUGUAUUCGCGCGAGCCAGACGCACGGGCGAAUAAGAACAAACUGACAUCAUUUUGAAGUCUGUAUUGUCAUCCCAGGCAUUUUUCUUUUCCAUUGUCAACUAACCAAAACGAAUGUUUUGUCUUUUUUCGUCUAAGUUAUAAGUUAUUUUUGUAUGAUUUGUUAAAUAAAUAUUUAUAAGUACAU
Long non-coding RNA from Cydia strobilella, 1054 nucleotides. RefSeq lists it as uncharacterized. The transcript is spliced from 3 exons. Lineage: Eukaryota; Metazoa; Arthropoda; Insecta; Lepidoptera; Tortricidae. The record is from RefSeq and is a predicted model, not a curated record.